RNAcentral lists this long non-coding RNA (1259 nucleotides) under Melopsittacus undulatus (budgerigar). Its description in RNAcentral is "lncRNA (ENSMUNG00000013533.2)". Lineage: Eukaryota; Metazoa; Chordata; Aves; Psittaciformes; Psittaculidae. The record is from RNAcentral.
AUGCAUUGCCAUGUCUCUCUUCCCGCUCCCUCAGCCGCUACACCCGGCGCGGCGAGCCCUCCGGCGAGGCACAGCUGCAGGCGAAGGCAGGUAGCACGAUGCUUGCUUCUCCAGAGGCUAUCGGCACCUCGUUCCCGUUCUUCCCCAGGAUGGCAGACCUCCGGCCGGGGGAUGUGGCUCUCUGGGGAGGCCGGCCGGCCGACGCCUCUCUGCCGGACACUUGCCGAGUCCCCAGCUGGCGGGCAGCUGCGACUCCUGGAGCCCUGCUCCAGGCUGCCGCUCGUGCCACCCCGGACCCUAAGAACUCCCAUGCUGCAGGGCGCAGCAGGGUCGGGGCCGAGCCCCUCCCCAUCCUUCCCACCUGCCCCCACCCCACCGGAGGCGGUGUGUGAGAAGAGCCGCCUGGCCCGGGGCCUGAAGUGGGGGGCGCGAGUCACGCGGGCCGGCUCUGCCCCUCACCCCGCCAGCUGCCUCACCUUAGGAGGAACCUUCGGAGCCUCCGGCCUCUCUCCCGCAGCGACACCGCCAACUGGAGGCUGUGACGCCAGGCGGCAGCCGCCCCGCCCCCGUCACCGAGACCGCCCCGGCCCGGCCCACGGGCCGCGCUCCCCUCCGCUCCCGAGUGCCGGCAAGGCCGGGGCGGGCCAGCAGCGGCUCCAGGUGGUAAUCACCCUGCUAACCCAGGACCCCUUUCCUAUCCGUGCAGGUUUGCCUCAUCUUGCUGAAGGAAAGCUGCAGUAUGCCCAGUUCUCCUUCAAAACGUCUGAAAGAUGAAACAACAGCCACUGUUCUGUUUGUCUGUAAACCAGCAUUAAGUGCAGGCAGCAGAAAAUAGGUGGAUAAUAAUUUACUAUGCUUGCCUGCUUCAAAUGAAAAGCACCUAAAGCCACAUAAAGAACCUAAUAAAUUACUUAUCUUUAACAAGAUUUGGCUUGUUCUCCCCUGUUUGCCCAGAAUGCAUCAGGAGCAGCUUUAAGAGCAUAAUCUUCACACCAUUCUCUAGCUGACCCUUUGAGUGUAUGUCUGCUUUAUUUCACAUCUGUUAUACACAUUUCUUUUCCAGUGGGGUAUAGACUUAAAUCCCUGUUUCCAUAGGAACCAAGUACCUUCUUAAAAUACACAAUUCUUUCUCUUUUCCAUUUAGUGGACUGUUUGGAUUUGAGCUACUUGGGAAAGAAACAAUCUUCUUUUCUUUCCUCCCCCCCCCCCCCCACUGACAAGUGGAAAAAGAAUAAGAGAAAACAGCAUUAAGUCUGAAG